GAUGAACGCUGGCGGCGUGCCUAAUACAUGCAAGUCGAGCGAACAGACGAGGAGCUUGCUCCUCUGACGUUAGCGGCGGACGGGUGAGUAACACGUGGAUAACCUACCUAUAAGACUGGGAUAACUUCGGGAAACCGGAGCUAAUACCGGAUAAUAUAUUGAACCGCACGGUUCAAUAGUGAAAGACGGUUUUACUGUCACUUAUAGAUGGAUCCGCGCCGCAUUAGCUAGUUGGUAAGGUAACGGCUUACCAAGGCAACGAUGCGUAGCCGACCUGAGAGGGUGAUCGGCCACACUGGAACUGAGACACGGUCCAGACUCCUACGGGAGGCAGCAGUAGGGAAUCUUCCGCAAUGGGCGAAAGCCUGACGGAGCAACGCCGCGUGAGUGAUGAAGGUCUUCGGAUCGUAAAACUCUGUUAUUAGGGAAGAACAAAUGUGUAAGUAACUAUGCACGUCUUGACGGUACCUAAUCAGAAAGCCACGGCUAACUACGUG
Molecule: ribosomal RNA, 497 nt
Filed under: uncultured bacterium
Lineage: Bacteria
Description: partial 16S ribosomal RNA
Rfam family: Bacterial small subunit ribosomal RNA
Source: RNAcentral